AUGGGCGGAGCAGGCGACGGCGAGGGGGCAGGGAGCGAGUCCCCGCCCUCGGGGGCGCGGGCGACGCUCAACAUCCGGUGCGCCAACGGCGCCAAGUUCACCCUGCAGGCCGACCUGGGCGAGACGGUCGGGGCGUUCAAGGAGGUCGUGGCCGGGAGCUGCGACGUGCCGGCGCCGCAGCAGCGCCUGAUCUACAAGGGCCGGAUCCUCAAGGACGAGCAAACCCUAGAAAGCUACGGUGUUGAGACAGAUCACACCAUUCACUUGGUGCGAGGCGUUGCCCAACCAGCAGCAUCAGGAGCACCUGCUGCAGCAAGCCCCCAAGCUUCAACCACUCCUACCAGUGGCCCUGCAGGUGGUCUUGGAGGCUUAUUUCCAGGCCUUGGUGCUACUGGAGCUGCUAGUGGCAGGCCAGCAGGUUUAUUUGGGGCUGGACUUCCGGAAUUAGAUCAAAUGCAGCAACAGUUGAGCCAGAAUCCCAACCUUAUGAGGGAGAUAAUGAACAUGCCAAUGAUGCAGAGCCUCAUGAAUAACCCUGAUCUAAUACGCAAUAUGAUUAUGAAUAAUCCACAAAUGCGUGAUAUUAUUGAUCGGAAUCCAGAUCUUGCCCAUGUCCUCAAUGAUCCUAGUGUUCUCCGCCAGACCCUUGAAGCUGCAAGAAACCCUGAAAUUAUGAGGGAGAUGAUGCGGAACACAGACAGAGCAAUGAGCAACAUCGAAGCUUCCCCUGAAGGGUUUAAUAUGCUCCGGCGUAUGUAUGAAACUGUACAGGAGCCUUUUCUUAAUGCAACAACAAUGGGAGGGGGUGGGGAAGGCACCCCGGCCUCUAACCCGUUUGCAGCUCUUCUUGGAAAUCAGGGGCCUAACCAAGCCGGCAAUGCUGCUACAAAUGCUCCAACUACCGGCCCAGAGUCCACAACAGGAACCCCUGUUCCAAAUACUAAUCCACUUCCAAACCCCUGGAGCAACAACGCUGGGGGUGCGCAAGGAACACCACGGUCAGGUCCUGCUGCUAGUACCAGGGCUGGUGCAACUGGAGGCCCAGGAGGGCUGGGUUCAGCAGAUUUGAGCAGCCUGCUCGGUGGUCUUGGUGGGAAUGCAAGAACUGGUGCUGCAGGUGGUCUAGGAGGGUUGGGUUCAGCAGAUUUGGGGAGUAUGCUUGGUGGUCCACCUGAUGCUGCUCUUUUGAGUCAGAUGCUGCAAAACCCUGCUAUGAUGCAGAUGAUGCAGAACAUUAUGUCUGACCCACAGUCAAUGAACCAGUUGCUUAGCAUGAACCCAAAUGCACGUAGCCUGAUGGAGUCAAACACUCAGUUGAGGGAUAUGUUCCAAAACCCAGAAUUUCUUCGCCAGAUGGCAUCCCCAGAGGCUUUGCAGCAAUUACUCUCAUUCCAGCAGACACUGUCAUCACAGCUUGGCCAAAAUCAACCUAGCCAGGCUGGUAACCUAGGAGGCAAUGGCACAGGCACGCGGGGAAAUGUUGGCCUGGACACCUUGAUGGGCAUGCUUAGUGGGCUUGGUGCUGGAGGUGGCUUAGGUGUACCAAAUGCCUCCAAUGUGCCACCGGAGGAACUCUAUGCAACGCAACUCGGCCAGCUCCAAGAAAUGGGGUUCUUCGACACCGCAGAGAAUAUCCGGGCGCUGAUGGCCACUUCUGGGAACGUACAUGCUGCUGUGGAGCGCCUUCUCGGGAACUUUGGCCAGUAG
This 1707-nucleotide ribosomal RNA is filed under the name Triticum aestivum (bread wheat). RNAcentral's name for it is "partial small subunit ribosomal RNA". Lineage: Eukaryota; Viridiplantae; Streptophyta; Magnoliopsida; Poales; Poaceae. The record is from RNAcentral.